AAAAAAGAAAAAAGAAAAAGGAAAAAAAGCAGGAGAAGAGACUUGUAUGUAUGACAAUGUAGAGACAUAUACAUGACAAACGAAAAUCACUGAGUGGCGAACAAUUUAGCCUCUCUUUAUCUUUGCAGCUCUCUUUCUGCGAAUGAGCCCCGAAAUGAUGUCGGAAGAUAGAGGGGCACGGUCUGCGACAGGAUUGUAUAGGGUGGCGAAGACAACUCAUAGGA
Molecule: non-coding RNA, 224 nt
Filed under: Geminigera cryophila
Lineage: Eukaryota; Cryptophyceae; Pyrenomonadales; Geminigeraceae
Source: RNAcentral